This 342-nucleotide transfer-messenger RNA is filed under the name Clostridiaceae bacterium. It matches the Rfam family "transfer-messenger RNA". Rfam says of the family: Bacterial tmRNA, also known as 10Sa RNA or SsrA, is named for its dual tRNA and mRNA-like properties. Its role is to liberate the mRNA from a stalled ribosome. Lineage: Bacteria; Bacillati; Bacillota; Clostridia; Eubacteriales; Clostridiaceae. The record is from RNAcentral.
CUUGGUUUCGACGGGGGUCAGGAUGGUUUGGGAAGCGAGCCGUGGUUUGUGUCUCCGGUGCCACGCUAAAAAGCUGGGGAUAUUAAAUAUAAACGCUAACGAAAAUAAUAAUUUAGCUUUAGCAGCUUAGGUCUGCUAACGUCAACCCGGUAGUACCGCGGACCGGGACCUGGCGUCGAUAGCGGUGAAACGAGCCCUGCAAAGCUUUGAACAGGGAACGGGAUUUAUGAAGCUACUGAAAUCAGGAGCCUGUCUUUCGGCGCUUGACAGAGGGAAUUUCAAAGGAAAGACUGUGCUCGAAGAAACCCGGAUCGGCCGGCUUUCGGACAGGGGUUCGAUUCA